AAAGGGUGCGUAGGCGGCCUGUUAAGUCAGGGGUGAAAGACGGUAGCUCAACUAUCGCAGUGCCCUUGAUACUGAUGGGCUUGAAUGAACUAGAGGUAGGCGGAAUGAGACAAGUAGCGGUGAAAUGCAUAGAUAUGUCUCAGAACACCGAUUGCGAAGGCAGCUUACUAUGGUUCUAUUGACGCUGAGGCACGAAAGCGUGGGGAUCAAACAGGAUUAGAUACCCCGGU
This 230-nucleotide ribosomal RNA is filed under the name uncultured bacterium. RNAcentral describes it as "partial 16S ribosomal RNA". It matches the Rfam family "Bacterial small subunit ribosomal RNA", at positions 562 to 791 of the family's 1533-position model. The record is from RNAcentral.